CCCUUAGAUGUUCUGGGCCGCACGCGCGCUACACUGACGAAGUCAGCGAGCAUCUCCUUCGCCGACAGGUGCGGGGAAUCUUGUCAAACUUCGUCGUGAUGGGGAUUGAUUAUUGAAAUUCUUGAUCAUCAACGAGGAAUUCCUAGUAAGCGCAAGUCAGCAGCUUGCGUUGAUUACGUCCCUGCCCUUUGUACACACCGCCCGUCGCUACUACCGAUUGAAUGGUUUAGUGAGAUCUUCGGAUUGGCGCCACUGCGGCUCAGCAAUGGGCUCGGUGGAUGCCGAAAAGUUGAUCAAACUUGAUCAUUUAGAGGAAGUAAAAGUCGUAACA
RNAcentral lists this ribosomal RNA (331 nucleotides) under uncultured eukaryote. RNAcentral describes it as "partial 18S ribosomal RNA". It matches the Rfam family "Eukaryotic small subunit ribosomal RNA", at positions 1470 to 1796 of the family's 1831-position model. The record is from RNAcentral.